GAUGAACGCUGGCGGCGUGCCUAAUACAUGCAAGUCGAACGAACAGACGAGGAGCUUGCUCCGCUGACGUUAGCGGAGCGCGGGUGAGUAACACGUGGAUAACCUCCCUAUAAGUGUGGUAUAACUUCGGGACACCGGAGAUAAUCGCGGAUAAGAUAUUGAACCGCAGGGGUCGAUGGUGAAAGUCGGCUUUGGUGUCUGUACUAGCGGGAUACGAGCCGGAUUAGCUGGUUGGUAAGUUAACGGGUUACCAAGGGAAGCAUGCGUAGCCGACCGGACAGGGUGAUAGGCCACCUUGGAACGGAGACAGGGACCAGACUCCUACGGGAGGCAGCAGUAGGGAAUCGUACGCAAUGGGCGAAAGCUUUACGGAGCAACGCGGCGUGAGAGAUGAAGGUCUUGGGAUCGUAAAACUCUGUUAUUAGGGAAGAACAAAUGUGUAAGUAACUAUGCACGUCGUGACGGUACCGAAUCAGGAAGCACCGGCUAACUACGUG
Molecule: ribosomal RNA, 497 nt
Filed under: uncultured bacterium
Lineage: Bacteria
Description: partial 16S ribosomal RNA
Rfam family: Bacterial small subunit ribosomal RNA
Source: RNAcentral